This 433-nucleotide ribosomal RNA is filed under the name uncultured bacterium. RNAcentral describes it as "bacterial SSU rRNA". It matches the Rfam family "Bacterial small subunit ribosomal RNA", at positions 355 to 796 of the family's 1533-position model. The record is from RNAcentral.
UCGAGGAUCUUCGGCAAUGGGCGCAAGCCUGACCGAGCGACGCCGCGUGUGCGAUGAAGGCCUUCGGGUUGUAAAGCACUGUCGAGGGGAAGGAAAGCCGCAAGGUUUGACCGACCCCUGGAGGAAGCACGGGCUAAGUUCGUGCCAGCAGCCGCGGUAAGACGAACCGUGCGAACGUUGUUCGGAAUCACUGGGCUUAAAGGGCGCGUAGGCGGGCCAUCAAGUCAGGGGUGAAAUCCUCCAGCUCAACUGGAGAACAGCUUUUGAUACUGGUGGCCUCGAGUGGGGUAGGGGCAUGUGGAACUUCCGGUGGAGCGGUGAAAUGCGUAGAUAUCGGAAGGAACGCCGGUGGCGAAAGCGACGUGCUGGACCCUUUCUGACGCUGAGGCGCGAAAGCCAGGGGAGCAAACGGGAUUAGAUACCCGGGUAGUCC